GAAAUGCGAUAAGUAAUGUGAAUUGCAGAAUUCAGUGAAUCAUCGAAUCUUUGAACGCACAUUGCGCCCGCCAGUAUUCUGGCGGGCAUGCCUGUUCGAGCGUCAUUUCAACCAUCAAGCCCCCGGCUUGUGUUGGGGACCUGCGGCUGCCCGCAGGCCCUGAAAAACAGUGGUGGGCUCGCUGUCACACCGAGCGUAGUAGCAUACAUUCUCGCUCAGGGCGUGCUGCGGGUUCCGGCCGUUAAACGACCUUCAUAACCCAAGGUUGACCUCGGAUCAGGUAGGAAGACCCGCUGAACUUAAGC
This 305-nucleotide unclassified non-coding RNA is filed under the name plant metagenome. RNAcentral describes it as "partial contains 5.8S ribosomal RNA, internal transcribed spacer 2, and large subunit ribosomal RNA". The stretch from base 1 to 105 matches the Rfam family "5.8S ribosomal RNA", at positions 50 to 154 of the family's 154-position model. The record is from RNAcentral.